RNAcentral lists this ribosomal RNA (2324 nucleotides) under human gut metagenome. RNAcentral describes it as "bacterial LSU rRNA". It matches the Rfam family "Bacterial large subunit ribosomal RNA", at positions 1 to 2339 of the family's 2925-position model. The record is from RNAcentral.
UUAAGUGAAUAAGGGCGCACGGUGGAUGCCUUGGCACUAGGAGCCGAUGAAGGACGGGACUAACACCGAUAUGCUUUGGGGAGCUGUAAGUAAGCUAUGAUCCAGAGAUUUCCGAAUGGGGGAACCCAAUAUCUUUUAUAGGAUAUUACUUUUCAGUGAAUACAUAGCUGAUUAGAGGUAGACGCAGAGAACUGAAACAUCUUAGUACCUGCAGGAAGAGAAAGAAAAUUCGAUUCCCUGAGUAGCGGCGAGCGAAACGGGAAGAGCCCAAACCAACAAGCUUGCUUGUUGGGGUUGUAGGACUCCAAUAUGGUAGUCUGUUAGUAUAGUUGAAGGAUUUGGAAAAUUCCGCUAAAGAGGGUGAAAGCCCCGUAGACGAAAUGCUAACAACACCUAGGAGGAUCCUGAGUACGGCGGAACACGAGAAAUUCCGUCGGAAUCCGCGGGGACCAUCCCGCAAGGCUAAAUACUCCCUAGUGACCGAUAGUGAACCAGUACCGUGAGGGAAAGGUGAAAAGCACCCCGGAAGGGGAGUGAAAUAGAUCCUGAAACCGUGUGCCUACAACAAGUCAAAGCUCGUUAAUGAGUGAUGGCGUGCCUUUUGUAGAAUGAACCGGCGAGUUACGAUUGCAUGCGAGGUUAAGUCGAAGAGACGGAGCCGCAGCGAAAGCGAGUCUGAAUAGGGCGAAUGAGUAUGUAGUCGUAGACCCGAAACCAUGUGAUCUACCCAUGUCCAGGUUGAAGGUGCGGUAAAACGCACUGGAGGACCGAACCCACGUACGUUGAAAAGUGCGGGGAUGAGGUGUGGGUAGCGGAGAAAUUCCAAACGAACUUGGAGAUAGCUGGUUCUCUCCGAAAUAGCUUUAGGGCUAGCCUCGGAAUUGAGAAUGAUGGAGGUAGAGCACUGUUUGGACUAGGGGCCCAUCUCGGGUUACCGAAUUCAGAUAAACUCCGAAUGCCAUUCAUUUAUAUCCGGGAGUCAGACUGCGAGUGAUAAGAUCCGUAGUCGAAAGGGAAACAGCCCAGACCACCAGCUAAGGUCCCAAAAUAUAUGUUAAGUGGAAAAGGAUGUGGGGUUGCACAGACAACUAGGAUGUUGGCUUAGAAGCAGCCACCAUUUAAAGAGUGCGUAAUAGCUCACUAGUCGAGUGACCCUGCGCCGAAAAUGUACCGGGGCUAAACAUAUUACCGAAGCUGUGGACUACACCAUUAGGUGUAGUGGUAGGAGAGCGUUCUAAGGGCGUUGAAGGUCGAUCGUGAGGACGGCUGGAGCGCUUAGAAGUGAGAAUGCCGGUAUGAGUAGCGAAAGACAGGUGAGAAUCCUGUCCACCGUAUGACUAAGGUUUCCUGGGGAAGGCUCGUCCGCCCAGGGUUAGUCGGGACCUAAGCCGAGGCCGAUAGGCGUAGGCGAUGGACAACAGGUUGAUAUUCCUGUACCAGUUGUUUUUGUUUGAGCAAUGGAGGGACGCAGUAGGCUAAGGAAUGCAUGCGAUUGGAAGUGCAUGUCCAAGCAAUGAGUCUUGAGUAGAGUUAAAUGCUUUACUCUUUAAGGACAAGUUGUGACGGGGAGCGAAAUAAUAGUAGCGAAGUUCCUGAUGUCACACUGCCAAGAAAAGCUUCUAGUGAGAAAAUAACUGCCCGUACCGUAAACCGACACAGGUAGUCGAGGAGAGUAUCCUAAGGUGAGCGAGCGAACUCUCGUUAAGGAACUCGGCAAAAUGACCCCGUAACUUCGGGAGAAGGGGUGCUGACGACCGUCAGCCGCAGUGAAUAGGCCCAAGCGACUGUUUAUCAAAAACACAGGUCUCUGCAAAAUCGUAAGAUGAAGUAUAGGGGCUGACGCCUGCCCGGUGCUGGAAGGUUAAGAGGAUGGGUUAGCUUCGGCGAAGCUCAGAAUUGAAGCCCCAGUAAACGGCGGCCGUAACUAUAACGGUCCUAAGGUAGCGAAAUUCCUUGUCGGGUAAGUUCCGACCCGCACGAAAGGCGUAAUGAUUUGGGCACUGUCUCAACGAGAGACUCGGUGAAAUUUUAGUACCUGUGAAGAUGCAGGUUACCCGCGACAGGACGGAAAGACCCCAUGGAGCUUUACUGUAGUUUGAUAUUGAGUGUUUGUACCACAUGUACAGGAUAGGUAGGAGCCGAUGAGACCGGAACGCUAGUUUCGGAGGAGGCGCUGGUGGGAUACUACCCUUGUGUUAUGAACCCUCUAACCCGCACCACUAAUCGUGGUGGGAGACAGUGUCAGAUGGGCAGUUUGACUGGGGCGGUCGCCUCCUAAAAGGUAACGGAGGCGCCCAAAGGUUCCCUCAGAAUGGUUGGAAAUC